AGUAUUCACUGCAGCUGGCCAGGUGGGCGCUCCAUCAUCCCAUUUCUCGGGACCACGGGCAGGGGAAUUACUGAAAACUUGAAUUCUCAACUGGCUCUCCUCAUUCCUGGGUUAUGCGUAGAGAGCAACUUAACUUCUUGAAUCAAACUUGAGAACCACUCUUCGAAGGAAGUGGUUUGCCUAAGUAGCAAACUAGUACAGGUCGUAAAAGCCCAAAAUAGAAGAGCAGAGCUUGAGGAAAGUCUGGACUUGGGAUCAGAGGCUAAAAUACGGAACAAAAACGAAGGCAGCUUCCCCCAGGAAUAAAACGCAAAUAAGUGCCCUCUCUGCAGACUGGAGGGGUCUUUUCUUUGGCAGAGGUGGGGAUCCACAGCCUGGCUCUGGAUUGCACCCACACGCGCUUUCAAAACACACCCUACUGGUCCUUAGGUGGAAAGCAGUGGACUGUUGGGAAAACAGCGGCAAAGGAAAACCACCCAAGCCGGAGGCUCAUCAAACUUAGUUGGUAUCAGAUUUCAAGGGGGACAACCACCCAGUUGGUUUCUGAGGAGAAUUAACAGCAUACGGUAAAAACAAGACAACAAGCCCCGUAUGGAGUUGCUUACGUAACCGAGCCCCAGAUCACCAAACCCAGGCUUAACUACACCUUCUGCUCUCCCAGAAAUGGAACUUUAAGCCACUCAGGAAUCGCCUGACCAACACCAGUUAAGUCACCUGCCCCAUAGGCUCCUGCCAUCCCCUAAAAGAAAGGAACCUUGCAAUAACCAGGAAAAACCUCCUUCUUCCUGCUCCCUUCGGGCUAUAAAAGUCUCAUCCUGCCUGCACCGCUCCCCCGAGCUCCUCUCCCUGCUAGGUUGCAUACUGCUCGAUUUGCUUCGACUUUGCUCAAUAAAUUGUUAAAAUGUUUAAUAUUUCUCGGCUUAUCUUAUAAUAGUUCCAGUAUCAGAAGAAGGAAGCCAAGGAAGCCCCUGAGAGCCCCCAGGAGAAAGGAGCACCCCGGCCCCACAGGCACCUGCUGAGCCCCUGAGCUCGCUGCUGUCCCGUUGGAGGUGGUGGGGGGCCCCUCUGGGAUCCCGGCUCCUCGGCUUCUGUCAGGAAGGAGCCUCUACCCUCAAGGCAUCUCUUUUUCCCCACCUGGCUCCCAGACCGGCCGCAGGACACCAGCUCAGACUUAAAAACCAUCCCGGUUCAACUUGAAGACCAGACCAGUUUCUGGUGAUCACCCCAGAGGGACGCCCCACUCGCUCUGGAACCUGCAGAAGGAUCCUGGGAGAACUGGCAGAGCCAGCGAAGGAAAAUAAAAGUUUCAAGAUCUGCGAAGAUUAUCCCUGAUUCUCUACAUUUAGCCAAAGAAGCAAUCCUAAUGCCUAAAGAGCACAGUCUAAGAAUCUGCCCCACAUCCCUUGUGCACCUGUUGUUAGUGUUAUCAGUUUGUUCACCUGGCCAGAAAUUCACAGAGAGAGAACUGCAGAGAGAGGCUGGGCCAAUGCACGUUCCAUUUGUCAUUAAGAAGCUAUCGCCUCAUGGCACCAGUUUGAUGUCCAAAUGUCACCGCAUAAUCUCAGCAAAGGCUAACAGCUGAGGAGUAAUGCAGGCUUAGCAGCUUCCUGGGCUCCCUUCUCCUGUGCCCCCAUCUCCAAGCUCCUCUAGUGUCAAAAACGUCCUCCAUAAGAGCAUGUUAGAACUCCCAGUUACAGCUAUUUUUUUAAUCUAAAAGUUAUGGGGAAAGAUCACUUCUUUUUUUUUAUUUUUUAUUUUUUUUUUAAAUUUACAUCCAAAUUAGUUAGCAUAUAGUGCAACAAUGAUUUCAGGAGU
This is a long non-coding RNA of Felis catus (domestic cat), 1815 nucleotides long. RefSeq lists it as uncharacterized. The record is from RefSeq and is a predicted model, not a curated record. Lineage: Eukaryota; Metazoa; Chordata; Mammalia; Carnivora; Felidae. The transcript is spliced from 4 exons.